Molecule: ribosomal RNA, 484 nt
Filed under: uncultured bacterium
Lineage: Bacteria
Description: partial 16S ribosomal RNA
Rfam family: Bacterial small subunit ribosomal RNA
Source: RNAcentral
AUUGAACGCCGGCGGCAGGCCUAACACAUGCAAGUCGAGCGGAUGAAGGGAGCUUGCUCCUGGAUUCAGCGGCGGACGGGUGAGUAAUGCCUAGGAAUCUGCCUGGUAGUGGGGGAUAACGUCCGGAAACGGGCGCUAAUACCGCAUACGUCCUGAGGGAGAAAGUGGGGGAUCUUCGGACCUCACGCUAUCAGAUGAGCCUAGGUCGGAUUAGCUAGUUGGUGGGGUAAAGGCCUACCAAGGCGACGAUCCGUAACUGGUCUGAGAGGAUGAUCAGUCACACUGGAACUGAGACACGGUCCAGACUCCUACGGGAGGCAGCAGUGGGGAAUAUUGGACAAUGGGCGAAAUCCUGAUCCAGCCAUGCCGCGUGUGUGAAGAAGGUCUUCGGAUUGUAAAGCACUUUAAGUUGGGAGGAAGGGCAGUAAGUUAAUACCUUGCUGUUUUGACGUUACCAACAGAAUAAGCACCGGCUAACUUCGUG